Molecule: ribosomal RNA, 373 nt
Filed under: uncultured bacterium
Lineage: Bacteria
Description: bacterial SSU rRNA
Rfam family: Bacterial small subunit ribosomal RNA
Source: RNAcentral
ACGUAGGGUGCGAGCGUUAAUCGGAAUUACUGGGCGUAAAGCGUGCGCAGGCGGUUUUGUAAGACAGAUGUGAAAUCCCCGGGCUUAACCUGGGAACUGCGUUUGUGACUGCAAGGCUAGAGUACGGCAGAGGGGGGUGGAAUUCCGCGUGUAGCAGUGAAAUGCGUAGAGAUGCGGAGGAACACCGAUGGCGAAGGCAACCCCCUGGGCCUGUACUGACGCUCAUGCACGAAAGCGUGGGGAGCAAACAGGAUUAGAUACCCUGGUAGUCCACGCCCUAAACGAUGUCGACUAGUCGUUCGGAGCAGCAAUGCACUGAGUGACGCAGCUAACGCGUGAAGUCGACCGCCUGGGGAGUACGGCCGCAAGGUUA